UACAGAGGUCCCAAGCGUUGUUCGGAUUCAUUGGGCGUAAAGGGUGCGUAGGCGGUGAGGUAAGUUGGAUGUGAAAUCCCAGGGCUCAACCCUGGAACUGCAUUCAAUACUGCCUUGCUAGAGUACUGGAGAGGAGAUUGGAAUUUACGGUGUAGCAGUGAAAUGCGUAGAUAUCGUAAGGAAGACCAGUGGCGAAGGCGAAUCUCUGGACAGUUACUGACACUGAGGCACGAAGGCCAGGGAGCAAACGGG
RNAcentral lists this ribosomal RNA (252 nucleotides) under uncultured bacterium. RNAcentral describes it as "partial 16S ribosomal RNA". It matches the Rfam family "Bacterial small subunit ribosomal RNA", at positions 524 to 776 of the family's 1533-position model. The record is from RNAcentral.